CCUACGGGUGGCUGCAGUGGGGAAUAUUGGACAAUGGGCGAAAGCCUGAUCCAGCCAUGCCGCGUGUGUGAAGAAGGCCUUCGGGUUGUAAAGCACUUUCAGUGGGGAAGAAAGCCUUGGGGCUAAUACCCUCGAGGAAGGACAUCACCCACAGAAGAAGCACCGGCUAACUCCGUGCCAACAGCCGCGGUAAUACGGAGGGUGCGAGCGUUAAUCGGAAUUACUGGGCGUAAAGCGCGCGUAGGCGGUCUGAUAAGCCGGUUGUGAAAGCCCCGGGCUCAACCUGGGAACGGCAUCCGGAACUGUCAGGCUAGAGUGCAGGAGAGGAAGGUAGAAUUCCCGGUGUAGCGGUGAAAUGCGUAGAGAUCGGGAGGAAUACCAGUGGCGAAGGCGGCCUUCUGGACUGACACUGACGCUGAGGUGCGAAAGCGUGGGUAGCAAACAGGAUUAGAUACCCGGGUAGUC
This 465-nucleotide ribosomal RNA is filed under the name Vreelandella stevensii. RNAcentral's name for it is "partial 16S ribosomal RNA". It matches the Rfam family "Bacterial small subunit ribosomal RNA", at positions 338 to 795 of the family's 1533-position model. The record is from RNAcentral. Lineage: Bacteria; Pseudomonadati; Pseudomonadota; Gammaproteobacteria; Oceanospirillales; Halomonadaceae.